CUUUAUAUAUCGUGAUCUUACACAUUUUAUGCACAUUUUGCAAGAAAAAUGACGUUAAAUUAUAUAACCACAAUACUAUAUGUUCUUUUUCAGAAAUCUACUGUUAGGAGUUUGAAUUUUUGAAACAGUUCUUUUUCACCACGAAAAUCUGUCAGCUGGCGUCUCAAUUUCGAAACGAUCCGAAACGUAUCGUCAGUUCUAUUUUUUUAACAAUGUCAGGAACACCACAAGUAUGACUACUGACCAUCAGAAUCUAUCGUGUAUUCAACGAAUGUUUCUGCUGCGUGGUAUUUUACCGCAGCGUCGAGUGACAUGAUCCAGAAAUGCAGCGAGCACACAUGUGUCUUUAACCUUUUAUUCCACUGCAAAAGCUUCGGUUCUUUCGACGAACUUGAGAGACACGUUUUGCUGCAAAUGGACUUCUGAAAUCGAUUAUUACUUCGGAAUAAUAACCGAGGGACCAGUCAACCAACGAAUUUCCUCGUAGCAGCGAGAUGUAACAAGCCUCGAGCAAACAUUGCAAAGAAAUCAACAGUAUUUGCAAAAGGUUGAAUCAUUGAAGAAGGGGCCGGAAGCACGUUUCCUCGUUUCAAUUUAUUGCAGAAACAGAGUUCGGUGGAAGUGAGUUACGUACGCUCUACAUACGGUUUUGUCGGCACACACAGACGUUCGACCUGCAGAGAUAGAAAACCGGUCAACUCCGAGUAUCGAGGGAAUCUUAUCGCUGUGCAAAGCGCGCGACGAAGAGCACGAUGUGGCGGAGUCGUCGUUCGGCACUUUGAUGUGGGUGUGCACGCGCGAUAUUGCGGUAACACGGAUUCCUGGAACCGUUUUCAACGAAAAAGAGGCCCGACGAUCCUUUAUUUCCUUAGAUAACCGAUAAUCGGCUCCGUCGGCACCGAUGAUGUCACAGCUCCCGUUCUGUUCACGAUUUUUCGCUCGACACGCUGCGUGUCUAUUUACUCGAUUUCGUUUUUUAUCGAAAUGUCCACUGGCUAUAAAUU
Molecule: long non-coding RNA, 1004 nt
Organism: Frieseomelitta varia
Lineage: Eukaryota; Metazoa; Arthropoda; Insecta; Hymenoptera; Apidae
Exons: 3
Source: RefSeq, a predicted model, not a curated record